RNAcentral lists this ribosomal RNA (696 nucleotides) under uncultured bacterium. RNAcentral's name for it is "bacterial SSU rRNA". It matches the Rfam family "Bacterial small subunit ribosomal RNA", at positions 97 to 789 of the family's 1533-position model. The record is from RNAcentral.
GGCGGACGGGUGAGUAAUGCUUGGGAACUUGCCUUUGCGAGGGGGAUAACAGUUGGAAACGACUGCUAAUACCGCAUAACGUCUACGGACCAAAGGGGGCUUUUAGCUCUCGCGUGAAGAGAGGCCCAAGUGAGAUUAGCUAGUUGGUGAGGUAAAGGCUCACCAAGGCGACGAUCUCUAGCUGUUCUGAGAGGAAGAUCAGCCACACUGGAACUGAGACACGGCCCAGACUCCUACGGGAGGCAGCAGUGGGGAAUAUUGCACAAUGGGGGAAACCCUGAUGCAGCCAUGCCGCGUGUGUGAAGAAGGCCUUCGGGUUGUAAAGCACUUUCAGUUGUGAGGAAAGGUUGGUAGUUAAUACCUGCCAGCUGUGACGUUAACAACAGAAGAAGCACCGGCUAACUCCGUGCCAGCAGCCGCGGUAAUACGGAGGGUGCGAGCGUUAAUCGGAAUUACUGGGCGUAAAGCGCACGCAGGCGGUUUGUUAAGCUAGAUGUGAAAGCCCCGGGCUCAACCUGGGAUGGUCAUUUAGAACUGGCAGACUAGAGUCUUGGAGAGGGGAGUGGAAUUCCAGGUGUAGCGGUGAAAUGCGUAGAGAUCUGGAGGAAACAUCAGUUGGCGAAGGCGACUCCCUGGCCAAAGACUGACGCUCAUGUGCGAAAAGUGUGGGUAUGCGAACAGGGAUUAGAUACCCUU